RNAcentral lists this long non-coding RNA (1202 nucleotides) under Mytilus galloprovincialis (Mediterranean mussel). Lineage: Eukaryota; Metazoa; Mollusca; Bivalvia; Mytilida; Mytilidae. The record is from RNAcentral.
CUGCUAAAUAUUUAAAAGGAUGGUUGUGCUUCUUAGGGUGUUGGUAAAUGAUACUUUUGAAUUUAUUGGGUCUUUUAAAACGAUACAGAUGUUCUUGAGUGCGUUUAGAUAAAUAUCGUCCAGUUUCUCCUACGUACUGAAUACCACACCCCGGUUUGUUUCAUGUGAGUAAAUAAAUAAUACUGUUUGUUUUUCAAGUUAUAUCAGUUUCAAAAUUUAAAGAAAAUGUGCGACCAUUAAACGUGGACCUUACCGUAUUGUUGUGGAAAGACGAGGACAUGUAAGUCAUUUUUUGGCAUGACACUUAUCGAUAGAAGGUAACCACGAUUUUAUUGUUAAAAAUGUUAGCGAUGGUAGUAUUUUUAGAUAACCGAUUUUGAAGAUUGAGGCGUGUAGAUACCCUUUGAACAAGUUUAGUAUUUAGUAAUUUUCCAUUUCUAAGCUUCAUAAUUGUUUUGUUAGUGAAUUAUAUAAUAAAGGAGCAAAGAUUGGCGUCCAGAAUAUGAACCAGCAUACAAUAAUUUAAGUUAUAUAAAAUGGAUAAAUUUGUUCGGCUAAAAAUGUCAAACGCUAUCAGUAUUAAUUACCCGAAAAAGAUAGGGUAUAUCAGGGUAGGACUGAUGGCUGACUAAAUAGUAGAAUGGGGCUGAAUAUUGAAAUACUACUUUUUGAUAAAUAUUCCUAAAGUAAUGAACUAGAGCAGUUCUCGCUCGGACACACACUCCAUAAUCUAGUAUAUUAUAAGAGCAUAAACCUGAAGCACGGGGAGGCACUCUACUGCCUCCACACGGCACUAAAGACAAACUCUGUAAAAAAUAAAAUUGAGAAUGGAAAUGGGGAAUGUGUCAAAGAGACAACAGCCCGACCAAAUAAAAAACAACAGCAGAGGGUCACCAACAGGUCUUCAAUGUAGCGAGAAAUUCCCGCACCCGGAGGCGUCCUUCAGCUGGCCCCUAAACAAAUAUAUACUAGUCCAGUGAUAAUGAACGCCAUACUAAUUUCCAAAGUGUACACAAGAAACUAAAAUUAAAAUAAUACAAGACUAACAAAGGCCAGAGGCUCCUGACUUGGGACAGGCGCAGAAAUGCGGCGGGGUUAAACAUGUUUGUGAGAUCUCAACCCUCCCCCUAUACCUCUAACCAAUGGAGAAAAGUAAACGCAUAACAAUACGCACAUUAAAAUUCAGUUCAAGAGAAGUCCGA